This 134-nucleotide small nucleolar RNA is filed under the name Carlito syrichta (Philippine tarsier). RNAcentral describes it as "Small nucleolar RNA SNORA70 (ENSTSYG00000020145.2)". It matches the Rfam family "Small nucleolar RNA SNORA70". From Rfam's summary of the family: snoRNA U70 seems to be exclusive to mammals and is a member of the H/ACA class of snoRNA which contain H (ANANNA) and ACA box motifs. H/ACA box snoRNAs are involved in the conversion of uridines to pseudouridines (5-ribosyluracil) a constituent of structural RNAs (transfer, ribosomal, small nuclear, and small nucleolar). The record is from Rfam by way of RNAcentral. Lineage: Eukaryota; Metazoa; Chordata; Mammalia; Primates; Tarsiidae.
GUGUAGUCAAUUAGCUGAUUGUACUCCUUUCCUCAUGCGGGCCUGGUGUGCAAUGGCUGCAAACAGAAGCUUACUCGGUAGUGUAUGCAGCCUGUGUCUUAUGUGAGUUGCCCUAAGGGACUUCGGAGACAGCC